Cephus cinctus (wheat stem sawfly) is the source of this 1486-nucleotide long non-coding RNA. RefSeq lists it as uncharacterized. The record is from RefSeq and is a predicted model, not a curated record. Lineage: Eukaryota; Metazoa; Arthropoda; Insecta; Hymenoptera; Cephidae. The transcript has 3 exons.
UGCGCCACCUCCGAUAUCCAAUAGAACGAUCGGUCCUCGCGGAUUGGACGGCAUCUUUUUAACGUCAUCAGAUCAGCCGACGAAUCUUUAAUCGUUGAAAUUCGUCUGAGCUCCGUGAAUCAAGAUGGCGUCAAAUAUCGAUAUCCAGUAGAGAGACGGUGGUUGAGACUUGUAAUCGCAAAAACGACCAAUCUAAAACGUGCUUCUAUGGCUGAAAAGCCGUCCGAGAAGCAAUAACGUGCCGAUGUAGAAAUCGUAGGAUCCAGGAGGCAGGGAGGCUGCGCGCCGAUCUGACGAAGGCCGCACGAGUACAGCGAUCAGGUACCGACGCUGGGCUUCUCUCUCUUCGGCGAGAGCAGCCGUUCGCUUUGUCUCCGUAUUAUAUUCUCCUUCUCUCGAAAUCCUCUACCCGCCUUCCUCCAUAGUCAACGUGUUUCCUCCGAUCGAAAAAGCAACUGGCGCCAUUCGCGAUUACGGCGCUUACGGAAAACAUUACUUCGCUGGAAUUUCAGGCUGAUCAGGUAGCAAUGCUCGUAGCGCGGUAGAGGAAUGCCGGCCUGCGAGACUAGAGAAAACAUUCGGCGUUGCAGCAGACAGCAACGUCCACCGUUCAGCUCCAAUUGCCGCUACUUUCGCUCGUUCCUCGUAAAAUCAUCGAAAUUCGCGAAAGCAGCCGAGAAAAAGAACAAUUGAACAAAGAAAACAAACUACGACCGCAAAGGCUUCAAUCUCGAGGUGUAAAGCAGAAUUCUAAUUAAAGGGCCGUACGACUGUAUACCAAGAGCCACGAUCUUUGGGUGUCUUGAUCAAUUUUCCGCAGGCGUCUCUGGCUACGUUCACGGAGACAGCUGACGGCCAAGAACCAGCCGUGGCGGCUGGUUUGAAAAUUCCAAUACCGAGCAGCGUGCGAAGGUGGCUUUCGGCGUAGAGAAACAAGUGGAUCAAAUCAAGAGACGAGGUCGCAGCCUGGUGACUCAGAGAGAAAGUAAGCAGCGAGCAAGCGGGUAGGAGAAGCCCAUUGCCUCCGACGCCAUGAACCCCACCACCCCCUGUGCCUCCUCCCCACCUGCCGAUUUACGACUCGCUAUUAGAAUCCCGAUAUUGAGUAACUUCCUUAUCCCAUUUUUUUUCCAUCACCAUUCUCUCCAUUCGCCUCGAUGGACCAAAGUCGAGGAUUUUGGUGGAAAAAAAAAAUUAAAAAAAAGAAGAAAAAAAAAGGAAAAUCAGUUUCAUCCAUAAAACGAAUACCUAAUCCAAAAUUAAAUUCUCGUCCGUUACGGAAGAGACAAAAAAUGACACGUGAUCGAAGCAACCCCCUCCUUUCCUGCAUACAAGCGACGCACAAUCGGUCAUGCGGAUGCUGGAUCCUUCUGAUCCUCAUUGUGCGUCCUCGUACCAUAUUUACAGUCGCCACGCACACGCGUCUCUCCAUUCAUCGAAGUACACGUCAUGGCCAUUCUGCUUGCCGAAUGAAUAAGCCCUUGAA